Molecule: long non-coding RNA, 360 nt
Filed under: Homo sapiens (human)
Lineage: Eukaryota; Metazoa; Chordata; Mammalia; Primates; Hominidae
Description: HSALNT0363550
Source: RNAcentral
CCUGACAAGGUCUGGAGCCUCAGAGCGCACCUGCCCCCACUUACAAGCCCCGGCCUCGGGGAUUGGGUGGAGUGUCCCCUGCCUCCAACGGCUCCCAGAUGAGUACCCACUGUCCUGAUUUCCAUCACCAUAGAUGAGUUUGGCCUGUUUUUGAAUUUUGUAUGAGAGAAACAUACAGCAUGUUCCUCUUUUCAUGUCUGGCUUUGUCUCUUAGCAUGGCGCCCAUCAGGUCCAUCCAUGGCUGUGUAUAUCCACGUCCAUUCCUUUUCAUGGUGAAUGGGCUUCCACUGGGUGGACAUGCAAGGUCUACUGUGGACAGACAUCUUGGUUGUUUUUGGGUUUUGAUGAUUUUGAAUAAAG